RNAcentral lists this ribosomal RNA (480 nucleotides) under uncultured bacterium. RNAcentral describes it as "bacterial SSU rRNA". It matches the Rfam family "Bacterial small subunit ribosomal RNA", at positions 8 to 526 of the family's 1533-position model. The record is from RNAcentral.
AGAGUUUGAUCCUGGCUCAGAACGAACGCUGGCGGCAUGCCUAAUACAUGCAAGUCGAACGCGUCUAGCAAUAGACGAGUGGCGGACGGGUGAGUAACGCGUGGGAACCUGCCCUUGAGUGCGGGAUAACCGAGGGAAACUUCGGCUAAUACCGCAUGCGCCCCGGGCAACCGGGGGAAAGAUUUAUCGCUCGAGGAGGGGCCCGCGUCGGAUUAGCUAGUUGGUGGGGUAACGGCCUACCAAGGCGAUGAUCCGUAGCUGGUCUGAGAGGAUGAUCAGCCACACUGGGACUGAGACACGGCCCAGACUCCUACGGGAGGCAGCAGUAGGGAAUAUUGGACAAUGGGGGCAACCCUGAUCCAGCAAUGCCGCGUGAGUGAUGAAGGCCUUAGGGUUGUAAAGCUCUUUCGCGCGCGACGAUGAUGACGGUAGCGCGAGAAGAAGCCCCGGCUAACUUCGUGCCAGCAGCCGCGGUAAUAC